UUAAUUGAUAGGUAAAGCCAAAAAAUUCAUUCUUCCAAUUCAACAAAACAAUUUCAUUUAACACACGAACAUAUUACCUAUCAGCGGAACUCCUACACCUCUUAAUGGUGCAGGUGCUAGUUCAUUUGAUUCACUAGAUGUUCUCAUUUGUUGAGAUAUUAUUGUUAUUGGGCAGGAUCCAGGAAGAUUAUUACACCUAAUGGCGCCAUCAAUGCAGAAUCAUGUGCAUGAGGGAGAUGUUUGGAGACUUUAGUGAACACCACCACAGGUCAAUCUCAUGUGUGAAAGAAUUGGCAAGCACUUCAAGGAUGAAGAUUGAAAAGUUUGAUGGCUAGAACUUUUGAGGUUUGGAAGCCCAAGAUGGAGAUAGCAUGGAUGGAGAUUAGUGAGUUGCUUUGUACAAAACAAAGGCCAUUGGUUAUGAUGACAAAAGAUUGGAUGAAAAUGGACAGGAAGGCAAAAAGUUGGAAAGAAUCUUGCCGCCUUUAUUCAAUAUUGCUCAAUGUCUCAAGUGAAGCUACCACAAAAGAGCUAUGAGAAAAUACAGUCUCUUUGUAUCAGCGUGAACAAACUUUUUCUUCAUAAGGAGUUGCAGUUCCUUAAAAUGAGUGAUGGCAACUUUGUGAGGGAAAUUUGAAUGUAUUCGAUAUCAUGGCAAGCCAAUUAGACUUUGAUGAUGUUAGGGUGUAUAGAAGAUGAAUGCAUUACUUUGU
This is a long non-coding RNA of Cryptomeria japonica (Japanese cedar), 713 nucleotides long. RefSeq lists it as uncharacterized. Lineage: Eukaryota; Viridiplantae; Streptophyta; Pinopsida; Cupressales; Cupressaceae. The record is from RefSeq and is a predicted model, not a curated record. The transcript is spliced from 2 exons.